GCAUCUUUCACAUGCUGUCAGUUUAGACCUCUCAGUUUGGUGAUAACGAGGAUUGGCUAUUCUUUGAAUGGUAUUUGCUAGGCAAAGAGGUGGGUCUGACAGAUGAGGGCAGAUCUGCACACCGGGAGCUCUAGGACACCUGAAGUUGAAUUCAUGCAAUGUGGUUUUGCACCACAGAUCCAGUGAAACCAACUUUGUUAAUGUCUGAAGGGAAGAAUCAGCUGUGUGUUUCGAUCUAAGGUCUUCCAAUAGAAAUGAUCUUCAUGGGUUUCUUUGUUUGGAUUUACAUGACAUUUGGUAAAGACUUCUUACUCUGGCCUCUGGGUAGCCUUUGCCCAACUUACCUAUGGCACAUAGCUGUCUUUAUCUGUAUACCCCUUCUGCAAUGGCAACCUGGUAUAAUUAUAAUUUUCUUUUUAGUGUAGUCAAAAAUGGGACUUGCUGGAUCUUGAGACAAGAGUCAUGGCUAACGAAGAUGGCCGAAGCUGCCUGUGAAGUCUCACAAGUCACGAAUGAACAAUGUGUCAGAACAGUGUAGCUAGUCACCAAGGGAGGACAAACUAUCUGCCUAUGGCUAAUCACUUGCCUGAAAAUGUCUUUAUGGAGAACCAGGACAUUUUUAUGUGUAAUUCUUGACAAAUCCUAUUUAUAGGGUUUGAUUCUAUACCCCAAUUCUGUUAAGUUGAAGCAAGCUUGACUUAUUUUAAGAUUAUUGUCCAUAUCACCUGGGUGAUACGUGGAGAUUUCUAUCUGUAACAAAAUAAGGCAUAAGGCACGGUGAACAGCAGUGCGUUUUCUCCAUGUUGUGAUAUCAACAUUUUUAUUUCCAAAUUCUGUAAAAAUAUAUCCCUUAUUUCCAGAGGAACCUCAUCAAGUAGCUAUCGGCACAGCAGAACUAGACAAUGUGAUAAGUUUGACCAUUGGAUGCUGAAGGGAACUGGAUCAGGCACUCCUGGAGCCAUCUUUAGAUGGGAGGAAAUCCGCUGGCUCUGGCCAAGGGAACACUCACCCACCAUUUUUUUUUUCCUCUUCUCUCACAACAAAUGCAUUUGAUUACUUUAGGAGAAAUGGCUCCAAGGUAUGCUUAACCCAAAGGUUUCUCAUGUUUGCCUAUGCUGUAUGCACUGUGUGACAGGAUGCUCUAAAUGCAGGCUAUUUAAUUUGUGUGGAUUUCUCUAGUUUACAGAGUUGAGAUUUCUUCUCAUGUAAGUGAUCUGUUCUGAGUGGGGCAUUUCACAUUAGACAUAUUUCAUAUAUCUAUUGUGCCUUUGAGUUUUGUGAGCUCAAUACCUCCAUUAGGAAAGACACUCUCACAAGAGGGGCACUGCAAUCUCAGUGCCCAUUACAUUUGGUUCAAAACCAAAAGAAACAAUCCUUCUACUUUAUCUGAUGUUUUCCGGCCUGUGGUGCUCUGUGCACUAAAGUCCAUGACACAAUCAUACUGGCAGCUUGUAUCAGAAAAAAGCACAAAAGGGAAGUCUUCUCGUGAAGAUGUGCACAGACUGGAAACAUUCAUUAAAAACAAAAUCUGACAAACAUUUAUAUUUUCCAAAGAUGGUUUCUAAGCUAUUACCUUCACCAGAACGCCAUCAGCACUUACAGACACAAUUCGCAGACACCCGGACGACGCCACUGAAACUCCACAGCUUUGCAUUACACGGAUUUUCAUUUUGUACACAAGUGCAUAUAAUGCAGCUUCUUCAACUGAGAUGCAGCGACGGUAACUAAAGCAGAACACCCCUGGCAAACGCCCAAGGAACACAUUGCAAAAUGUGUUUCAGCUGUGGCCACAUGGCGGCGCCACCGCAGGUAUCAACCUGGUUUUCCUCUGGUUUCCUUUAGUUUCCAUGGGCUUUUGAAGGCAGUCCAAACUUGCACCGAGUGGUUUUUCGUGGCUGUCGUCUUGUUCCUGCUUGUUAGAGCUUAACGAAGCUUGCCAGCGUGCGUUAUGCGAUGAUGUUGUACGGUGAUGAAAAACACAGCAGAAAAAUCAGCUGGGAACGGAAGAGGCGAUAAAACACAAAGAAAUCCCGGAAACGGCUACCAUUUGCUAUUAAAUUUCUGUGCUGCCGUGGGAGUUGGGUCAGAACAUUUAUUGGAGACCUCAGGGGUGUACUAGUGCCCUGCCUCGUGUGGACUGCUGACCCUUGGAGGGCAGGGAUAAAGGAGAACGUGGGAGGACUGAGGACAGGUGAGUGAGUCUGAAGACACUGACUUAUGGCUCCCAAGAGCCUUCUAGUCCUGCUGAACUUCUUAGCACACAAUUUCAAACUUGUUCUGAGUGACUUAACCUUGCUUAUCCAUUGUCAUGGUGGAAACCUGUGUAGCCUCCAAAAGCCUGGUGGCAGGGCUUUGGCAGGAGAUGCCAAGUGUUCUAAUCACCAGUGCGAAUUGAAUGAAACAUGGGGACUGAAUGGUUGAAUGGUUAUCCCCUCGGAAUUUAACAGAAAUACCUUUCUGCCUUUAUAAAUGUAGGUGCGUCCUAGGUUCAUGUUUUUGCCUGAUUCUUGAAAGGUGCCUGCUGACUACUGGAACAGGCCUGACUGGGCUGUGUGUGCGUUUUCUUUUAACAGAAUAACUGGUUCUCCGUUGAGAGUUCAUCUUUGUCUAGCUCAGGGAGAGUGGAGUUCUAGGUUCAGAGGUGAGAGAGAAAUCUGGAGAUCUUUUGGGUAUCUGUUUUAGCAUCUGAUGUGAGAGGUCUGGUCAGGAUCCAGAAGAUAGGCUUGUUCUAGGGAGCCCAGGGUAAUGUCUUACAACAGUCCUGAAGGGACUUAUGUCUGCCUGAAUGGAACUGAGGUGAUGGAAGUUGAGAAGGCUUGAGAAAUUUCUACAGAUGGUUAUGGGGAACUUGGAGAAUUGAAGAAAACCAGUGGUUUAGAGUAAGGCCAUUUGCCAGAGGCGAAGGACAUCUGUGGAGAACAUGAGAAUUCCCUUAGAGAUCUCUGAAAGUAGAGGGGUUGGGUAGCCUUGUCACAACUUGCAGAUGGGUACUCAGAAUGCUUGCCAUAUGAAGGUAGCGAGACCUGACACUUUUGCCUCGAAAGCUGGUGACAAAAUGUUUAUGCCACCAGUAGCUGUGGUCUCCCUCUGCCUUACACUUCCAUAGGUAGCCCAUUUUCAAGACACAAAUAGAUGUCCAGAGAAGUACAUGGGUUUUCUUUCUCUUUCAUAGAACUUGGCCUUUGCUGUCCUGCCAGGCACUUAAGACAUUUCCCAUAGGGGAUGAGAACUUAGCUUCUCUAGGUGUCCCUUUCAGAUUUUCUUCUUGGGGUCCUGGAAGAGAAUGAGAGAGCCCUGUGUACCUCAGACCACAGAGGGUAAGGACUUUCUUUCCCAGGGCAGUGGGAUGACACUAGAGAAUGGGCUAGCAUGGGCUAGCCAUGGCUAUUUUAGGACAGUCAAGACUGCUUAUUAGCUUGGCCCUAUUUCUCUGGAUGAAGAAGUUGAGAAUUUGCCCUUUCUGUUCUAUGGGAACAACUGAAACACCCUGAACUUUGGAAACACUGACCUCCUCAGGUGAUUCUGGGUGGAUUUAGAGAACUUUUCUCAGCAGGACUUGAAACUUACUCUCCUUCAGAGUACUGUUGAGUCCUGGCAAAGUAGGUGGCCUGGUGGGCACAAAAACAGAGGGUCCCGAGUGCUCGUGAAACUGGAAAUGGAAUCUAGGGGAACACACCAUAUUAUGGGAGUCAGUCGAUAGACAAGACUUAACUCCAUUACUUUUCCCAAAAUGUACCAUACCGAAUGUGAAAUGACCAUGACGAUGUGGACUAUCUUCAUGAAAGUUUGUCUCCUCUUUCUGGGGCAUACUUCUGUGUGAGUCUCACUCCAAAGAGCUUUCAUUAUAACCGAUAAUGGAGAGGCGCUUUGACACCAGGAUGAGGUAUUUCUGUAUCUGAACAGCUUCCUUAAUCUUUUCAUUCUUGUAGGUAGGAUGUGAGAAUCAUCCUAGCAGGAUGUUAUAAAGCACUGAGGAUAUGUUAGCUUAACUAACUUCUCUCAUGAAUAAAAUCAGCUAAGGAAUGCUUAACCGACUUAGUUUCCACAAGCCACGCACUUCACUCUGUCUGAAGACCUGUGGGUAAAUUCAUAGCCUUAAAAAGUGUGUGACGCUUGGCGUUUUGUAGUCAGGCAGGGGCCAAUGGCAUGGAAAACUGGAAGUAGCUUGUGUGGUGUUGUUGUUGCCUGACAUGGCUGUGGUGGCUGCUUGGACUGCACAGAGUCACACACCCGUCAGUGAUGGGGACAGAGCUCCAGCCUGACCUCCUGACUCAGGCUGUGACUCACACACAUGCCGUUUUGUACACUACCAGACAAGCUCCCAACUCGAGCAUUCAGGAUGUUGCUGUAGAGUGAGAUGUAGGAGGCCACACUUGCACUCAGAUGUUUAAUUCCUAAGAGACGAUGUGUGAGAGAAGCACCGGACGCCAGGCUUCGAAUGCUACCUCAUGACUGAGAAGCAUCAUUCUGGCACACCGUACUCCCCUUGGUUGUCCCACUGAGAGUUAAUGAGGCACACGUGGCUUUGGUACUCAGAAAACCUUGACACACACUGAAUAUUUUUUUUCCCUGUUUCUCUUCUUUCUAGGCCUUUGUGGCAAACAGUAGAUGUUUAAAAACAAGCUAAUGGUACAUGCUGUGUUAGCUUCUUAUGGAAAGUUAUGGAAGGGAAUGAGAGAGAAGCUCUCACACAUAACUCACUCUAGAGAGCCCCAGUCACCCCCAGGAAAUGCAAACCCUGCUUCCUGGGCUCCCCUCUUAACGCCAGGUCAUCCCAAGGGACACCUGUUUUCCUCAAACCCACUUCCCUGACAGGUUGAUGCUGGCUGAACAUUUUGCAAGACCUGGGCUAGGUCUUGUUAAUUUCAUAUUAUCCCUGCCACCUACCCCGAGUUUCAUCAUGUUUAUUUAGUGAAUACACAGUAAAAAGUCUUAAAAAUGCCCCUGAUUAAUAUAUUUUGGCAGCGAGAAAGGAGACAAAUUAACCAAGCUUUUCCAAUCUCAUCCAAAGUUAACUCGCAAACUCCAUUUUAAGGAAGGGCUUCCUGUGAAGGCUGCCUUGGAAAGCAUUGUGGGCCAAUUCCCCAACCUGUAAUAAACUAUAUGUAUAAAGAUAGCAGUGUUGUUAUACAAUUUAAUUAGUGCAUCACUCAGACAUUUGGACCAAUGCCUGGCUCUUUUCCUGCACGUUCAUUCAGCUUUUAGUCUAACUCCCGCGUGAAAUAAACAAAAAGGCUAAUUGCUUUUGGAUUUUAGCACCGGGUGAAAUACCUGGAUUCAUUAUGUGAAUCAUAUUUUAUAGGUAGAUUAAAGGUUCUAUUGGCAAAUGAAAAAUUCUACGAUGACAGCUGUAACGUUCAAAGGCAAGGCAAUGGAAAGGCCCGUGCUCCCACAGGCAGCAUAUGGACCCAUCUGACAUGCUCCUGGUUCUCAUAGCAGGGUAAAUGUUUGCACACUGAUGAGGACAUUGCUCCUGGCUGGGAAGAAUUUGUGUCAUGGCUCUGAAGCAAUGAUGGGCUGGUAAAGGUUUAAGGAUUUGUGUCCAUCAGGAAAACAAAACAAAAAACAAACCAAACCAAAAACCAAAACAAACCCCCUUUUGUUUGUAAGUUCAGACCGCAGCUGAUCUUAAGGAGUGGGGACCUGACUCUCCCCAGUCCUCUAGCCAGUGCUUCCUGGGGCAUGAGGUGGAGGGAAGGCCUGGUUUCAGAGGCCAGAGCUUGCUUUUAAUAAUCUCUCCAAAAUACAGAUGUUGGUGUGGGGAGUUCUGGAGCGGACCCCUUGUGAGCAUGUUAGGACCCAGCAAACCGGAAUGCCUUCUCAGCUUCCUGAAGAACAAGGCAGGUGGAUGAAGAGGGGUUGCCCCUGACAGCCCUGCUCCUGACCUUGCUCAAGGAAGACCUUCAAUACCCACCUCCAUCUGACUGAGUUCUGUUAAGGAAGAUAACACUCACAUCUUUGGCUCUCUUCACGAGUGGAGUAAGCCUUCCAUUCUUCAAAGGGAGAACUCCCAGAAGCCAGCAGUGCCCUUGACAAAACCAGCUCAAACUCAAGCUGACAAGCACUUGACUGGGACCAUCACAUCAUUCUUCAGUGACAGGGUCCUGAGCAAGAGGGGCCGGGGAUCAGAGGUAAAGAAGAUAAAACAGAGUAAUGCAUUUGAUUUUGAUGAGGCCCAAUGAAAUACACAGGAGCAAACAAGGUCUUUGGGAAAACGAACUCAGAAUAGCUACUUCCAGCUCGUAUCCAAAGGGGAUAGAAUCAAGAAGAAAAGAGUCCGUGGCAUGCUCAGAAAUUUACUGGAAAGAGUCAAGCUGAGAAAACCAUUCAACUGCAAAGACACACUACCUUACCUGGGUGAGGAAGGAUAACUUGGAGAGGAACUGAGAUCCCAAAUUACAGAGCCAGGAACCAUGGAGGAUCCAAGGGACUUCCAACGUUCAGAAGAUGGCUUUCUCAAAUCAAGAAGACCCUCACCAGAACCUGCUGGUAGCCAAUGAGAGUUUCUAGGCUCUGAAACUGUAUUGUUGUGCUCGGAAUGCUGCAGCCUCCAUCUUGAGACUCCACCCAACACCAAUACAGGCAAGAGGAGCAGAGGGUGUCCAACUCCUACACAUGGGCCGCUAAACUUCCCCCAGCCAACCAAAAAGCUGGUUUUUAGUUAAAAAUACUGUCUGCUGAUAAAAGAAAUAAGGAUGAGUGUAUCAUUCAACCCUCAUUGGAGAAGCUUCCUCCUGCAGUAGAUGGGAAUUAGCAGAGACCAACAACUGGACAUAAGUAAUGAGUGAGAGACUUGGAGGCCCUCAGUCCCACAUGGGAGGUCUUCGUCAAAUUCCUUCCCUGAAGGCUUAGGGAGCUAUGUAGAUGAGGAGACAGAAAGAUCGUAAGAGCCAGAGAUGGCGGGUGAUUCCAAGGAACAAUGUCUUCCAGACACAACAGGACUGAUCUACAUGUAAGUUCACAGAGACUGUGAAGCCCACAAAACCUGCACAAGUUCAAACAAGACAAAAUCCCAGCACCGAGAAGGGGAAAUGGACCCAGGUAGAGUCCUAGCCCUAACUAAAGAGCUAUUUGCAAGUGAUGUUUACUGGGAAAGGGAAAAUCCAUUUUCUCUCGUGGAGUGUCACUGGGCAUAUCAGUCA
Molecule: small RNA, 7142 nt
Filed under: Rattus norvegicus (Norway rat)
Lineage: Eukaryota; Metazoa; Chordata; Mammalia; Rodentia; Muridae
Description: uncharacterized LOC102548160
Source: RNAcentral